Capsicum annuum is the source of this 588-nucleotide long non-coding RNA. RefSeq lists it as uncharacterized. The transcript has 4 exons. Lineage: Eukaryota; Viridiplantae; Streptophyta; Magnoliopsida; Solanales; Solanaceae. The record is from RefSeq and is a predicted model, not a curated record.
CUCAUUCAUAUACUGAUAUAUACGGUUAAGAUAACAUGGCAAGCCACGGUAAUGACAACCUUUCUAGCAGUGGCCAAGCUCAGAUGAGAAAAGAUAGCUCAAACACACCUUCUGAUGUCCAUAAUUAGGGCCAAAGCCCCAACUUCCUUCAAGAGGAAGGAUAUGAUUUCUUCAUCUUCAACUUUCUCUGUUAUUGUAAACAAAAAAGAACAAGUCUACAUCUAUUCGCCUCUUACUUCAAAUGGUAACACAUUUCAAGAAGAUAAGGAGAAAAAAAAUCGAUAAUAAUUGAAACUUUGGUAAGCAAAGGAUUUACAGAACAGACAAAGAAGACCGAAAGGAAGAAAAUAAAAGAAAAGUGCAGAGUAGAGUUUUCAGUUUUGUUGGUAUAGUUGACAAGCUUAAAUUUUUAAAAUUUCUGUUUGAUAUUCUUCUUCUUCUUUCUUUUAAAUAUUGUUUUAUUUCACAAUUUUUCUAUAUUUAAUUCAAUUGUAUGCAAUUUAUGAUUGCCUGAUUUUAUCUCAGACAAUCGUAAAAUUGGAACAUGACAUUCCGUAUUGAAAAGUUUGGAAAAAUAGUUUAAUAUUA